UGUACGAGUGGCGAACGGGUGAGUAACACGUGAGAAACCUGCCUCGGAGACCGGGACAACCAUUGGAAACGAUGGCUAAUACCGGAUGUCCUCAUUUGAUCGCAUGAUCUUUUGAGGAAAUGAUCCGUCGCUCCGGGAGGGUCUCGCGGCCUAUCAGCUUGUUGGUGAGGUAAUGGCUCACCAAGGCAUCGACGGGUAGCUGGUCUGAGAGGACGAUCAGCCACACUGGGACUGAGACACGGCCCAGACUCCUACGGGAGGCAGCAGUAGGGAAUCUUGCACAAUGGGCGAAAGCCUGAUGCAGCGACGCCGCGUGGGGGAUGAAGGCCUUCGGGUUGUAAACCCCUUUCAGUAGGGACGAAAAUGACGGUACCUACAGAAGAAGCUCCGGCCAACUACGUGCCAGCAGCCGCGGUAACACGUAGGGAGCAAGCGUUGUCCGGAUUUAUUGGGCGUAAAGAGCUCGUAGGCGGUUUGUCGCGUCUGCUGUGAAAAUCCGAGGCUCAACCUCGGACCUACAGUGGGUACGGGCAAACUA
RNAcentral lists this ribosomal RNA (538 nucleotides) under uncultured Actinomycetes bacterium. RNAcentral's name for it is "bacterial SSU rRNA". It matches the Rfam family "Bacterial small subunit ribosomal RNA", at positions 88 to 643 of the family's 1533-position model. The record is from RNAcentral. Lineage: Bacteria; Bacillati; Actinomycetota; Actinomycetes.